This 406-nucleotide ribosomal RNA is filed under the name uncultured bacterium. RNAcentral describes it as "partial 16S ribosomal RNA". It matches the Rfam family "Bacterial small subunit ribosomal RNA", at positions 29 to 526 of the family's 1533-position model. The record is from RNAcentral.
UUUGAACUCUGGCGGCAGGCCUAACACAUGCAAGUCGGACUAGUGGCGGACGGGUUAGUCAUGUCUGGGUGACUGCCUGCUGGAGAGGGAAAACUACUGGAAACGGUAACUAAUACCGCCUACCAUCGGAUGUUCCCAGAUGGGAGUAGCUACUAGGUGGGGUAAAGGCUCACCUAGGCGACGAUCCAUAGCUGGGCUGAGAGGAUGAACAGCAACACUGGAACUGAGACACGGUCAAGAAUACUACGGGAGGCAGCAGUGGGGAAUAUGGGACAAUGGGCGCAAGCCAGAUGCAGGCAGGACGCGUGUAUGAAGAAGGCCUUGGGGUUGGAAAGUAUUUUCAGAGGGGAGGAGUUACACGCAGAAGAAGCACAGGCUAACUACGUGCCAGCAGCCGCGGUAAUUC